UAGGGAAUCUUCCGCAAUGGACGCAAGUCUGACGGAGCAACGCCGCGUGAGUGAAGAAGGAUUUCGGUUCGUAAAACUCUGUUGUUAGAGAAGAACAGCGCAUAGAGUAACUGUUAUGCGUGUGACGGUAUCUAACCAGAAAGCCACGGCUAACUACGUGCCAGCAGCCGCGGUAAUACGUAGGUGGCAAGCGUUGUCCGGAUUUAUUGGGCGUAAAGCGAGCGCAGGCGGUCAAUUAAGUCUGAUGUGAAAGCCCCCGGCGCAACCGGGGAGGGUUAUUGGAAACUGGUUAACUUGGGUGCAGAAGAGGAGAGUGGAAUUCCAUGUGUAGCGGGGAAAUGCGUAGAUAUAUGGAGGAACACCAGUGGCGAAGGCGACUCUCUGGUCUGUAACUGACGCUGAGGUUCGAAAGCGUGGGUAGCAAACAGG
Molecule: ribosomal RNA, 429 nt
Filed under: Bacteroidota bacterium
Lineage: Bacteria; Pseudomonadati; Bacteroidota
Description: Bacteroidetes bacterium partial 16S ribosomal RNA
Rfam family: Bacterial small subunit ribosomal RNA
Source: RNAcentral